AAUCUACCCAUGAGUGGGGGACAACCCGGGGAAACUCGGGCUAAUACCGCAUACGCCCUACGGGGUAAAGCAGGGGACCUUCGGGCCUUGCGCUGAUGGAUGUGCUCCCGUCGGAUUAGCUUGUUGGUGAGGUAAAGGCUCACCAAGGCGACGAUCCGUAGCUGGUCUGACAGGAAGAUCAGCCACACCGGGACUGAGACACGGCCCGGACUCCUACGGGAGGCAGCAGUGGGGAAUCUUGGACAAUGGGGGCAACCCUGAUCCAGCCAUGCCGCGUGUGUGAAGAAGGCCUUCGGGUUGUAAAGCACUUUCAGCAGGGAGGAAGGCUUACCCCUAAUACGGGUGAGUACUUGACGUUACCUGCAGAAGAAGCACCGGCUAAUUUCGUGCCAGCAGCCGCGGUAAUACGAAAGGUGCAAGCGUUAAUCGGAAUUACUGGGCGUAAAGCGCGCGUAGGCGGUGUGUUAAGUCGGAUGUGAAAGCCCAGGGCUCAACCUUGGAAUUGCAUCCGAUACUGGCACGCUAGAGUGCAGUAGAGGGAGGUGGAAUUUCCGGUGUAGCGGUGAAAUGCGUAGAGAUCGGAAGGAACACCAGUGGCGAAGGCGGCCUCCUGGACUGACACUGACGCUGAGGUGCGAAAGCGUGGGGA
RNAcentral lists this ribosomal RNA (649 nucleotides) under uncultured Alcanivorax sp. RNAcentral describes it as "bacterial SSU rRNA". It matches the Rfam family "Bacterial small subunit ribosomal RNA", at positions 123 to 767 of the family's 1533-position model. The record is from RNAcentral. Lineage: Bacteria; Pseudomonadati; Pseudomonadota; Gammaproteobacteria; Oceanospirillales; Alcanivoracaceae.